CAAUCCCAUAAUGCCCUGCUCAGCAUGCUGGCUGCUGAAAUGUCCUAAAUGAGCACGGAUUAUGAGAGUGUCUCUCUCUCAGAUUGAGAGUAAAGCCGCAUCUCUGCAUCUCUUUGUAUCUCUGCUGCUUAGCUGGGUGCAGGAAUGAGCACGGCGGUGGUGCACAAAGGAUUCCUCAGGAAAUAUGGUGGCUUCAUGUUCAAACAAUGGAAGGAAAAGUACCUGGUGUUGACGGUGGAAGGGAAUCUGAUGGUGUCCCGAGAUGCAGACUCACCACCGGACCAGGUGGUGGCGCUACAGAGUAACUGUGAGUCCAUAGUGGAGGGUAAAGAAAUCUUGGAUUUGCCCCAUUUGCCAUCUGGAGGCCGCAGAGACAGCUGCUUCGCCCUUAUCCUGCCCCAAUACAAGUUCCUCCUCCUGCUCUCAGACAGUCCAACCGAGUGCACUCAAUGGCUGAAGUUACUCAGGAAGGUGAAAGAGGGUGUGACUUCACCACUCACCCUAAAGAGAGAGCAGAGCAUCACACCCUGCAUCACGGACAGAGAGCCGCUUCCAGAUGUCUCCAGUGACAAAGACCCCUCGUCCCCGCACCUCAGUGACAAGGGCCUGAGCUCUCCGCUGAUCCGCUCCAGAGAAAACUCCUUCAGACACAGAGGCAGCAUAAACCAGCGGCCUCCCUGCAGCCCCACCACGGCUGUGCCCCUUCGCUCUGCAGACUGUCUGCGGCACGGAAACAGCAGCGAUGCCCGGGCCGUGAGAGCGGUCUGUCUGCUGAUGGGUGGAGCAGCCGCAUCCUCGGCACUGGGAUACCUCAACUCCUGUCCAUCCGCCUCCUCCAACAUGGCUGUCCAUGCUCCUGAAGUGACCCACUCCACAGCGUUAUCGGAGAUGGGGGGAGGCAGCUCUUACCAUGCCUGCAGCCAAGCCAUAGAGUCGCCACAUUUUAACAGCUUCGACUUUGAGGGAGACUCAGACUUUGAUGCUUUUGACUGUGGAGGGUUUGCUUUUUAAUGGAAUAUGUUUACCUUAUUCGCAGGGUUCCCACAGUCGUGGAAGUGUUAGAGAAUUUGAAAAUUUUUAUUUUCAGGCCCAAGAAAGGCAUGGAAAUGAAUACACUCUUUAAAAAGUCAUGCAAAUUCCUGUAGUGAAUAUGUCUACAGCAGUGGUUCUCAAACCUGUCCUGGAGUAGCCCCAGCCCUGCACAUUUUGUAUGUCUCCCUCAUCUAUCACAUCUGAUUAAACUCUUCAGCUCAUUAGUGGAGACUGCAAGACCUGAAGUGGGUGUGUCAGAUAUAGGGAGACAUACAAAAUGUGCAGUGCUGGGGGUACUUCAUGGAGAGGUUUGAGAACCACUGGUCUACAGGAUUGUUUUUUUUUCUAGCAUAGUAGUUAAAAGCAUCUGAAAAAAGUCAUACGCAUUCAUUGUCCAAAUGAUUUUGGAUGCUGCAUACACAGUUGUUUGUUAAUCUCUUUUCAGCAGAAGACAAAAAAAAAUUAGAAUUAGAACAUGUGAAGAUGCAAAUGAUUAUAUUGGAAAAUUAAGCCUAUUUUUAUGACCAUUAUAAUUUCAUGCAUUGUGAUUUUAUGUUCAUGAGAAUUUAUCACGUCCCCCCUUUAUACAAAUACUAUUUCUAAUAUUUUUCUUUUAAUACUUGCAUGAAAUACGACCCAGAAACCUAGACAGGUUUUGUGAGAGUCAUCCAGCUGUGCCCCUUUUAACUUGUAUGUUGUGUCUAUUGUAUGUUUCAAAUAUAAUACACAUUAUGUUCCAAUAAUAAUGUUGUUUAAUAACUUUAUUAUAAUAUUGUAUCUUAGAACUCUUAACCCCUUUUUUAUUUC
Molecule: long non-coding RNA, 1839 nt
Organism: Sinocyclocheilus grahami
Lineage: Eukaryota; Metazoa; Chordata; Actinopteri; Cypriniformes; Cyprinidae
Source: Ensembl